Molecule: ribosomal RNA, 372 nt
Filed under: uncultured Streptococcus sp.
Lineage: Bacteria; Bacillati; Bacillota; Bacilli; Lactobacillales; Streptococcaceae
Description: bacterial SSU rRNA
Rfam family: Bacterial small subunit ribosomal RNA
Source: RNAcentral
AUAGAAAGUUACUUCGGUACAUCGGUGACAGGUGGUGCAUGGUUGUCGUCAGCUCGUGUCGUGAGAUGUUGGGUUAAGUCCCGCAACGAGCGCAACCCCUAUUGUUAGUUGCCAUCAUUCAGUUGGGCACUCUAGCGAGACUGCCGGUAGUAAACCGGAGGAAGUGGGAUGACGUCAAAUCAUCAUGCCCCUUAUGACCUGGGCUACACACGUGCUACAAUGGUUGGUACAACGAGUUGCGAGUCGGUGACGGCGAGCUAAUCUCUUAAAGCCAAUCUCAGUUCGGAUUGUAGGCUGCAACUCGCCUACAUGAAGUCGGAAUCGCUAGUAAUCGCGGAUCAGCACGCCGCGGUGAAUACGUUCCCGGGCCUU